GAUAUUUACAGUUUUGAGCAGAGAAGUUGUUCCCAAAUGUUACAUAAGGCUGCAUUACAGGAAAUAAAAUCCACAGGAAAUUCUCAUCUUGUUGUACCUAAGGACACCCAUUGUGAAGCAUAUCGUGUGUUUUAACCCAGAACUCAAGUUACUUUUAUUUUAUUUAGAUAAAUUGGGAUAAUGGCCAGCAGGUGAAGCAGGCUGAGAGGCGGGGUUAUACCCUGCAUCAUGAAUCAGUUUUGAAUAAAUUCUACCAUCUUAACAUAUUGUCACUGUCCAAUGAAAAAAUCCAUUACAGGAGCAUGGAAAAAAAACGCAUUUUCUCAUAAGCUACCUUAUAAAAUAAACCUAAAACAACAUAACAGGGCUCUAGAUUGUGACCAAAAUUGUCAUAGUUGUGACCUUUUAUUAAGAAUGAGAUUUUAGAUGUCAUUUGUGCUGUGCAAGUAUAUGAUAACUACUAGGAUGUUACGGGUACCGUGUUAAAUAAUGAUUGAAAGUUUUUUCAUCUUCCCUGGUUCAUUGUUUAUGUUUUUUUUUUUUUUAAUUGGUUUCUCAUUACCUGCACCCAGGGGGACGUAAAUAUAUGCAAACUGAUGAUAAAACGUGCAAAAUCGAGGUGUUAAAGCGAAGCUGUGGUGCCGAAAAAGGAGGCGGUCUACUGCUGAUCAAAAACAAACUGAAGAAAGAUAAUGAAGAGGGAGAGCCAAAGAGAGGUCCUGAGAGUGAUUCAAAUGAUGCUUGUCAGGGGCCACAUCGAAGCUGCUCUUCCCAGCUCCCUGGACCCACUCCAGUUUGGCUACCGCCCAAACCGAUCAUCUCACUAUGUACGUAUACACAGCUACUGGUGACAAAGUACCUUGAACCCUGAAUAUUAUUCCACCAUAAUACUAAAAUUAGCUAUAUUAAAAGCGUUCCAGGCAGUUUGCAAACCCUACAGACUAUUACAUACAUGUAAAUACAUGUGCAUGCAUAUGCAGACUUGUCUCGAAUUAAAAAUGUCACGCCAGCCAGCAGACCGAAGUUGGCAACCCCGAUUGCAUGCUCAAACUCUCGGCUUGGGUACACCGUGCAUCUUUGUCUCAGUAACCAACCUCACUGAUGUAGCUGUCCGAGUGACCAUGGGAUCUUGCAUUUCUCUCAGUAACUUUUAAACUUUCAUUGAUGUUAAUUUUACAUUUUUAAUAAUGAGUCAAAACGUAGUGCUCCCAAUGUAUACAGUAGUAACUUUGUACAUGCAGGGGCUUAAUUUAGAUGGUUUGUAUAUUAUAUAAAAAUAUCUUGAUAGAAAACGACAAUGUGAUUUGUCAUGCAAAGUGUACAAUACUGUUUGGUUAGAAAAUGGUAAUAAAUAAACUUUGAUGUAA
Molecule: long non-coding RNA, 1367 nt
Organism: Paramormyrops kingsleyae
Lineage: Eukaryota; Metazoa; Chordata; Actinopteri; Osteoglossiformes; Mormyridae
Source: RefSeq, a predicted model, not a curated record